RNAcentral lists this ribosomal RNA (327 nucleotides) under uncultured eukaryote. Its description in RNAcentral is "partial 18S ribosomal RNA". It matches the Rfam family "Eukaryotic small subunit ribosomal RNA", at positions 1470 to 1796 of the family's 1831-position model. The record is from RNAcentral.
CCCUUAGAUGUUCUGUGCCGCACGCGCGCUACACUGAUUCAUGCAACAAGUUUUGUCCUUGGCUGAUAGGCCUGGGUAAUCUUUGAACGUGAAUCGUGAUGGGGAUAGAUGAUUGCAAUUAUUCAUCUUCAACGAGGAAUUCCUAGUAAACGCAAGUCAUCAGCUUGCAUUGAUUACGUCCCUGCCCUUUGUACACACCGCCCGUCGCACCUACCGAUUGAAUGGUCCGGUGAAAUCUUCGGAUCUGAGAGAUGUCUGAUUAAUUUCGGACGCCUUUUGGAAAAGUUGUUUAAACCUUACCAUUUAGAGGAAGGUGAANUCGUAACA